ACGUAGGUGGCAAGCGUUGUCCGGAUUUAUUGGGUUUAAAGGGUGCGUAGGCGGUCCUGUAAGUCAGUUGUGAAAUACGGCAGCUUAACUGUCGAGGUGCAAUUGAUACUGCAAGACUUGAGUACUGAUGAGGUAGGCGGAAUGGACGGUGUAGCGGUGAAAUGCUUAGAGAUCGUCCAGAACACCGAUAGCGAAGGCAGCUUACUAAGGAGUAACUGACGCUGAGGCACGAAAGUGUGGGGAUCAAACAGGAUUAGAUACCCUGGUAGUCCACACUGUAACCGAUGAUUACUCGAUGUUGGCGAUAGACAGCCAGCGUCUUAGCAAAAGCGAUAAGUAAUUCACCUGGGGAGUACGCCCGCAAGGGUG
RNAcentral lists this ribosomal RNA (369 nucleotides) under uncultured bacterium. RNAcentral describes it as "bacterial SSU rRNA". It matches the Rfam family "Bacterial small subunit ribosomal RNA", at positions 525 to 896 of the family's 1533-position model. The record is from RNAcentral.